UCCUCAGCCAAAUACCCUUCGUCCUCAGCAAAAACCGCCGCCGCAUUUCAAUCUCUGCCGCAUUGUGACCGCCGCCCAAUCCUCCUCCAUUGUGACCACCGCCGCGUUUCAAUCUCCGACCGUCUCCAUCUCGGCAAUUGAAUCUCCGCCGCAUUAGAUUCUCCGCCUCCAACAGCGCGAUUUCGACCACCGCCGCACCUCCGACGACGCGAUUUCAACCGCCGCCUUUUGACGACGACUCUGGAGCAACAUUCGUUCGUUUCCAUAAUCUCCACCGUUCGUUUCCAUUCCUCAAACGCAAUUCUCGCUUCUUCGACCGUUGCUGCGCUACCAAUUCUCCGUCGGAACCGCCUUCAGAGGAUCAACUGCCUCCAUCUUCAGGUACUCAUCAUUUUUACUUUGUGGUUUCGAAAUUUAGUCUCUCUCGCACACCGCCAUAGUUGUAUACUGAACAAAGAAGACUGAUUGUACUCCUCUAUUCCAGAUCCUCUAUUCCAGAGAUCUCAGCUGAAAUUGGAGACAUUGCUACUCUAGAAAGUUUUUUAAUAUCAAUUAUUUGCUGUUAUCUGAAAUGUAGGAUUUUGGAAGAUAAUCUACUUGAAGGAAAUCUGCCAGAAAACCUUGGAAGUUUGAGUAAUUUGAG
Molecule: long non-coding RNA, 643 nt
Filed under: Salvia miltiorrhiza (redroot sage)
Lineage: Eukaryota; Viridiplantae; Streptophyta; Magnoliopsida; Lamiales; Lamiaceae
Description: long non-coding RNA (SMIL_LNC008074)
Source: RNAcentral